GGUGGCUCAGUGAUAGAGUACUUGCCUUGCAUGCAUGAGGCCCUGGGUUUGAUUCUCAGCACCA
This 64-nucleotide transfer RNA is filed under the name Dipodomys ordii (Ord's kangaroo rat). It matches the Rfam family "tRNA". Rfam says of the family: Transfer RNA (tRNA) molecules are approximately 80 nucleotides in length. The record is from Rfam by way of RNAcentral. Lineage: Eukaryota; Metazoa; Chordata; Mammalia; Rodentia; Heteromyidae.